CCAAAAUGGAGAGUUUGAUCCUGGCUCAGGAUGAACGCUGGCGGCGUGCUUAACACAUGCAAGUCGAACGGGCUCUUCGGAGCUAGUGGCGGACGGGUGAGUAACGCGUGAGAAUCUGCCUACAGGACGGGGACAACAGUUGGAAACGACUGCUAAUACCCGAUGUGCCGAGAGGUGAAACAUUUAUGGCCUGUAGAUGAGCUCGCGUCUGAUUAGCUAGUUGGUGGGGUAAGGGCCUACCAAGGCGACGAUCAGUAGCUGGUCUGAGAGGAUGAUCAGCCACACUGGGACUGAGACACGGCCCAGACUCCUACGGGAGGCAGCAGUGGGGAAUUUUCCGCAAUGGGCGCAAGCCUGACGGAGCAACGCCGCGUGGGGGAGGAAGGUUUUUGGACUGUAAACCCCUUUUCUCAGGGAAGAAGAAAGUGACGGUACCUGAGGAAUAAGCCUCGGCUAAUUCCGUGCCAGCAGCCGCGGUAAUACGGGAGAGGCAAGCGUUAUCCGGAAUUAUUGGGCGUAAAGCGUCCGCAGGCGGUUAAUCAAGUCUGUUGUCAAAGCGUGGGGCUCAACCUCAUACAGGCAAUGGAAACUGAUUGACUAGAGUAUGGUAGGGGUAGCGGGAAUUCCAGGUGUAGCGGUGAAAUGCGUAGAUAUCUGGAAGAACACCAGCGGCGAAAGCGCGCUACUGGGCCAUAACUGACGCUCAUGGACGAAAGCUAGGGGAGCGAAAGGGAUUAGAUACCCCUGUAGUCCUAGCCGUAAACGAUGAACACUAGGUGUUGCGUGAAUCGACCCGCGCAGUGCCGUAGCCAACGCGUUAAGUGUUCCGCCUGGGGAGUACGCACGCAAGUGUGAAACUCAAAGGAAUUGACGGGGGCCCGCACAAGCGGUGGAGUAUGUGGUUUAAUUCGAUGCAACGCGAAGAACCUUACCAGGGUUUGACAUCCCCCGAAUCUCUUGGAAACGAGAGAGUGCCUUCGGGAGCGGGGAGACAGGUGGUGCAUGGCUGUCGUCAGCUCGUGUCGUGAGAUGUUGGGUUAAGUCCCGCAACGAGCGCAACCCACGUUUUUAGUUGCCAUCAUUCAGUUGGGCACUCUAGAGAAACUGCCGGUGACAAACCGGAGGAAGGUGUGGACGACGUCAAGUCAUCAUGCCCCUUACAUCCUGGGCUACACACGUACUACAAUGCUCCGGACAGCGAGACGCGAAGCCGCGAGGUGAAGCAAAUCUCCCAAACCGGGGCUCAGUUCAGAUUGCAGGCUGCAACUCGCCUGCAUGAAGGCGGAAUCGCUAGUAAUCGCAGGUCAGCAUACUGCGGUGAAUACGUUCCCGGGCCUUGUACACACCGCCCGUCACACCAUGGAAGUUGGCCAUGCCCGAAGUCGUUACCCUAACCGUUCGCGGAGGGGGGCGCCGAAGGUAGGGCUGAUGACUGGGGUGAAGUCGUAACAAGGUAGCCGUACCGGAAGGUGUGGCUGGAUCACCUCCUUU
Molecule: ribosomal RNA, 1491 nt
Filed under: Synechococcus elongatus PCC 7942 = FACHB-805
Lineage: Bacteria; Bacillati; Cyanobacteriota; Cyanophyceae; Synechococcales; Synechococcaceae
Also listed under: 1 other name
Description: Synechococcus elongatus PCC 7942 16S ribosomal RNA
Rfam family: Bacterial small subunit ribosomal RNA
Source: RNAcentral